UGAGGAAUAUUGGUCAAUGGGCGGUAGCCUGAACCAGCCAAGUAGCGUGAAGGAUGAAGGUUCUAUGGAUUGUAAACUUCUUUUAUAAAGGAAUAAAGUGAGGCACGUGUGCCUUUUUUGUAUGUACUUUAUGAAUAAGGAUCGGCUAACUCCGUGCCAGCAGCCGCGGUAAUACGGAGGAUCCGAGCGUUAUCCGGAUUUAUUGGGUUUAAAGGGAGCGUAGAUGGGUUGUUAAGUCAGUUGUGAAAGUUUGCGGCUCAACCGUAAAAUUGCAAUUGAUACUGGCGUCCUUGAGUACAGUUGAGGUGGGCGGAAUUCGUGGUGUAGCGGUGAAAUGCUUAGAUAUCACGAAGAACUCCUAUUGCGAAGGCAGCUCACUAAACUGCAACUGACAUUGAGGCUCGAAAGUGUGGGUAUCAAACAGG
Molecule: ribosomal RNA, 425 nt
Filed under: uncultured bacterium
Lineage: Bacteria
Description: bacterial SSU rRNA
Rfam family: Bacterial small subunit ribosomal RNA
Source: RNAcentral